This 207-nucleotide ribosomal RNA is filed under the name uncultured bacterium. Its description in RNAcentral is "partial 16S ribosomal RNA". It matches the Rfam family "Bacterial small subunit ribosomal RNA", at positions 568 to 774 of the family's 1533-position model. The record is from RNAcentral.
CAGGUAGGCGGCUGUGCAGGUCCGUGGUGAAAUCCCUCGGCUUAACCGAGGAAUUGCCUUGGAAACCACACGGCUGGAGUGGAGGAGAGGAGACUGGAACUCUAGGUGGAGCGGUGAAAUGCGUAGAUAUCUAGAGGAACGCCGGUGGCGAAAGCGGGUCUCUGGCCUCUAACUGACGCUGAGCUGCGAAAGCCAGGGGAGCGAACG